Molecule: ribosomal RNA, 1069 nt
Filed under: Epomidus sp. NLG-2012
Lineage: Eukaryota; Metazoa; Arthropoda; Insecta; Coleoptera; Tenebrionidae
Description: partial 16S ribosomal RNA
Source: RNAcentral
UUCUUUAAAGUUAAAGAUUUUGGCGGUAUUUUAGUCUAUUCAAAGUAACCUGUUUUUUAAUUGAUAGUCAACGAUUAUUUUAACUUAAAUUUUUAAUUUAUAUAUCGUCGUUUAUAUAAAUUUUAUUAUAUAAUUUUUUCAGAUCAAGGUGUAGUUUAUAAUUAAGUUAAAAUGGGUUACAUUAAAAAUUUUACAUGAUUGAGUUCUAACCGGAGGCUCUAAAAUAUGUACAUAUCGCCCGUCGCUUUCGUUUUAAAAUGGAAUAAGUCGUAACAAAGUAGGCUUAUUGGAAAAUGAGCCUAGAAUACAAAUUAGAGCUUGAGAAGCAUUUUAUUUACAUUAAAGAAAUAACUGAAAGUUCAGUUUAAUUUGAAAUUAUUUUGUUAUUUAACCUGUUUUUUUUGUUGUUUUAAUUUAAAUAUAAUUUUUUUUAUUAUUUUUAAGAAAUGAUUUAAUUAUAGAAUAUUGUAUAGUAAUAGAUUUAUUUAAAUUAUAAUAAAGAAGGUUUUAUUUAUUGUACCUUGUGUAUCAGGGUUUAUUAAUUUAUAUUUCUCGAAUUUUAAAGGGCAAAUUUUAUUGUUAAAUAAAUAUUUAUAAUUAUUAAUUUGAAAUGAAAUGUUAUUCGUUUUUUAAUAUAUCUAGUUUUUUCAGAAAAAAAUUAAAUUUUAUUAUUAGUUAUUGUUAUUAUAGGGGAUAAGCUUUUAAUUAAAUUUUUAUAAGUUAAAAAUUAUUUAAAAUUUAUAGGAUUAGAAUUUUCUUUUAAUAUAGGAUGUUAUAAUUAGAGGCUUUAAUUUUUAUAUGAAAAUUUUAUUUUUAAUUUUGUAUUUUAAGAAAUAAUGAUAAAAUUAGUAAGGUUAUAAUAAGGAAUUCGGCAAAUAUUAUUUUCACCUGUUUAAUAAAAACAUGUCUUUUUGAUUAUAAUUUAAAGUCUUGCCUGCCCAAUGAUUAAAUGGCCGCAGUAUUUUGACUGUGCGAAGGUAGCAUAAUAAUUAGUUUUUUAAUUGUAAGCUGGUAUGAAGGGUUUAAUGAAAAAUAAGCUGUCUCUAGAAUUUUAAUUUUAAGCUAUAAA